Molecule: transfer RNA, 72 nt
Filed under: Pangasius djambal
Lineage: Eukaryota; Metazoa; Chordata; Actinopteri; Siluriformes; Pangasiidae
Description: tRNA-Glu
Source: RNAcentral
UCCCUGGAGGACUAGUGGUUAGGCCCCAGUGCUCUCAGCGCUGCGGCCAGGGUUUGAUUCCUGGCCAGCGAA